Molecule: ribosomal RNA, 497 nt
Filed under: uncultured bacterium
Lineage: Bacteria
Description: partial 16S ribosomal RNA
Rfam family: Bacterial small subunit ribosomal RNA
Source: RNAcentral
GAUGAACGCUGGCGGCGUGCCUAAUACAUGCAAGUCGAGCGAACAGACGAGGAGCUUGCUCCUCUGACGUUAGCGGCGGACGGGUGAGUAACACGUGGAUAGCCUACCUAUAAGACUGGGAUAACUUCGGGAAACCGGAGCUAAUACCGGAUAAUAUAUUGAACCGCAUGGUUCAAUAGUGAAAGACGGUUUUGCUGUCACUUAUAGAUGGAUCCGCGCCGCAUUAGCUAGUUGGUAAGGUAACGGCUUACCAAGGCAACGAUGCGUAGCCAACCUGAGAGGGUGAUCGGCCACACUGGAACUGAGACACGGUCCAGACUCCUACGGGAGGCAACAGUAGGGAAUCUUCCGCAAAGGGCGAAAGCUUGACGGAGCAGCGCCGCGUGAGUGAUGAAGGUCUUCGGAUCGUAAAACUCUGUUAUUAGGGAAGAACAAAUGUGUAAGUAACUAUGCACGUCUUGACGGUACCUAAUCAGAAAGCCACGGCUAACUACGUG